CUUAACCAUAGCACCCACUGCAUAUCAUUCCUAUAAGGAGCAUGUGAGAUGUAGGCUGUGUUGAGGAAUAAGUAACAGAAUUGUAAUUACAGCCCAGAGAAAAAGAUCUUGAGAUCAUGUUCAGGUUUACGCCUGACAGAUGGUGAGAUGGAACCUAUCUUCUGUACAGUGAAGGUGUUGUAACCUCACGAACUUGGGAGAAAGAAGGGAUCAUUAUCUGUGGAGCCUAUUUUUAGAUAUUUUCUCUUAUGUCCUUAUAAAGAAAAUACAAAGUCUCCGGUUUGAUUACUCUGUCUGUGUUGGUAUGACCUUAAUUAUUAUGUUUUUAAGAUCCUUGCCCAAAGUCUGUGCACUUUGCUGAGUUUUUCAUUAAAAAGCUCCUUUUUGGACUUAGCAAAUGCUCAGUCUUUUUCACUUCAAUAGUUGGAAAUUUUCCCUUGGGGGUCCUACGCUCUUUAAAUAUUUUUAGGUUGCCAGUUUUCUUCUGUUGGCUCUCCGGGAAGCCAAUUUGGUUCCAAAGCCCCUGAGAGUAGCCUGGCUCCUUCUUUCGCACACACCCAUUGCAUCACAAUAAAAUGCCGCCUAAUUACUGCCUUUGUGGGGUCCCAGAGGCUGGGUGUUUGUCUCCAGGCUAUGCUGUGGACUAUAAACUCUUCUCAGAUGAGAGAUAAACCGCUUCAUUAUUGAAAUCUCCAGGUCUUGUAGCAGGAGUUUCCUCCUACCAAAUCGUUUCCAGGCUUGGGAGAGAAUUGAUCAAAUGAGACCGUGUCAUUCAUCUCGAAGUAAUUUCCAGUGGGAUCAGCUUAAGAGAAAUGUCCCUUGCUUGUGGUGCCCAGAUCUAAAGAGGGAUUCUCCCCCAAAUCGAAUCCUUUUCUUGAUUUUGUUUCCUCAUUUCUGGUACGAGGAGGGAGUUCAUAGGUGAUUAGUCCUUGACAUGGGAACAUACUGUGAAAUGUUUUGGGGAGGCAGAUUUUAGUAGAGAAACAGUGACGAGGACGGGGGCUCUGUACUGCUUGGGCUGCUUUCUCCUGACAGUGGCUGCAGAAAGGAGGUCAGUUGCAUAGGUGAUGGAAGGACCCUGGGAUCUUUGUGCUUCAAGGUCCAACGCCUGGACCUCUUUCCCAAGCGACCCUCGGACCCACUCUGCUUAUGUACCGGCAUCUCUGGAGCACAUCCGUAGUCUCUACAGCAGUGCUUCCCAAUCUUAGCUGCAAACUGGAACCACUUGGGGACCGUCAAAAACUCCCGAUGCCCAGUCCCAUCUCCACUACCACCCACCCCCAUUAAAAUUUUCAUUGGUCACAGUGGGGUCGAGGCAGGCGCGUAUUUAACGUGCUCCGGGUGACGCUAACGUGCUACAACGUUGAGAAUUUGCUGCCCUAAAGUCCCUCGGAGAAGAAAGCUUCUCCUCCCCCAUCGGCCUGCUGCAGGUGCACCUGUGGGGGUGGGGGCCGCCGGGGUGUCACAAAGGCAAUAUAUGCUGCAAAAUUAUUGACUGCAGUAAAAGGCACUGUAACAAGUAUUCUCAUUAUUUUGCUGAAAUUACCAAACCAGUUAUAAAGCACUUUCACACGUACCCUGGGUUCUGUCCCCAUAAGCAUCCCCCCCGCCCCCGCCCCAGGCAGAUAGGGAAGGUGUUACUAUGUGCAUUUUUUGUAGAUGAGGAAAUGUGGCUCAAAAAGGCCGAAUGACAUUCCAAGAUGACACAGCUAAGCAGCUGGCAGUGCUGGGGUUAGAAUCCAGCCUUCUGAUUGCGUUUCCCUUGUAACAGAUCAAUAGUAUUAUGAAUUAGAAUUCCAUACAAUUCUAGUUACUUACUCACUGUGUGACCCAGAGACAGUCACUUAACCUCUCAGUUUCCUCAUCUAUAAAAUGGGAUAAUACUUGGACCUCCCUCACAGGGCUGCUCUGGGAUCAAAGGAGAUAAUGCUACUUUUUUUUUUUUUUUUUUUAAUCUGUGAGAGAGAGAGAGAGAGAGAGAAAGUGUGGGCACAAGCGUGAUUGGGGGGAGAGGCAAAGACAGAGACAAAGGGAGGGGGACAGAGUAUCCAAAGCAGGCUCUGAGCUGACAGCAGAGAGCCUGACAUGGGGCUCGAACUCAUGAACUGUGAGCCGAAGUUGGAUGCUUAACCGACUGGGCCACCCAGGCAUCCCUGCAUCUGGGAUUUUAAAUUAACCCCAAAGUGUAAGUUGCUGCCUUGUAAUAUCUUAUUCUUUUCCGUGUCGCCUGCAUAUGUUUUUGGCCUGAUUUAUUCAUGAAUUCACCAGCCAGGAAUCCAGAACUGACCUGAGAAGACCAGGUUUCCCAGAGUCAAAGAAGUGUCUGAAAGUGAGACACUGCAUCCAUUUUGGAUUCACACUUCCCUUCCUGCUGAACUCCUGAAUUUUCUGGCUCAUGAAGGCAGCUGCAGCAGCUGCUGUGUGUGUCCUUAACCACCCUCGAAGUCUGUAACACGUCAUAUUACCUCAUUUUGGCUCCCUGGGCCUGUUUUGAAAGGCCCUGAAUUAGUCACGUGGGGUACGUGAUCCAAAAUCACAUG
This 2540-nucleotide long non-coding RNA is filed under the name Lynx pardinus (Iberian lynx). Lineage: Eukaryota; Metazoa; Chordata; Mammalia; Carnivora; Felidae. The record is from RNAcentral.